CACCAGUUCUGGUUUGGGUUUCUUCUUUUUAUUAGCACCAUCUGAGAAUGUCUGUGGUAGAGACUUUGGUGAAUUUCAUCUGUCCUACGGGGUCACAUAGGAAUCACAACCAGGAUACAGUCCUUAAGAAUCUUAGUUGACACCAGAGAUUGUCAUUACCCAGGGUCUCUCCUUGGAGGGGACUUG
Molecule: long non-coding RNA, 186 nt
Organism: Sapajus apella (tufted capuchin)
Lineage: Eukaryota; Metazoa; Chordata; Mammalia; Primates; Cebidae
Exons: 3
Source: RefSeq, a predicted model, not a curated record